RNAcentral lists this ribosomal RNA (403 nucleotides) under uncultured bacterium. RNAcentral's name for it is "partial 16S ribosomal RNA". It matches the Rfam family "Bacterial small subunit ribosomal RNA", at positions 28 to 526 of the family's 1533-position model. The record is from RNAcentral.
GACGAACGCUGGCGGCGUGCCUAAUACAUGCAAGUCGAACGCAGGGGGGACGGGUGAGUAACACGUGGGUAACCUCCCAUCAGAGGGGAUAACAUUUGGAAACAGGUGCUAAACCGAUAUGGAUGGCUGGGCCCGCGGUGCAUUAGCUAGUGGGUGAGGUAACGGUUCACCAAGGCCACGAUGCAUAGCCGGUCUGAGAGUGUUAUCGGCCACACUGGUACUGAGACACGGCCCAGACUCCUACGGGAGGCAGCAGGAGGGAAUCUUCGGCAAUGGACGCAAGUCUGACCGAGCAACGCCGCGUGAGUGAAGAAGGUUUUCGGAUCGUAAAUCUCUGUUGUUAGGGAAGCGUUAUCUAACCAGAAAGCCACGGCUAACUACGUGCCAGCAGCCGCGGUAAUAC